AGAGUUUGAUCCUGGCUCAGAACGAACGCUGGCGGCGUGCCUAACACAUGCAAGUCGAGCGCGAAUGGAGCAAUCCUAGUAGAGCGGCGCACGGGUGCGUAACACGUGGAUAAUCUGCCUGGGAGACCGGAAUAACCUGCCGAAAGGCAAGCUAAUACCGGAUGAGCCCACAGGGACUUCGGUCCCGGAGGGAAAAGGUG
Molecule: ribosomal RNA, 200 nt
Filed under: uncultured bacterium
Lineage: Bacteria
Description: partial 16S ribosomal RNA
Rfam family: Bacterial small subunit ribosomal RNA
Source: RNAcentral